Molecule: ribosomal RNA, 426 nt
Filed under: uncultured bacterium
Lineage: Bacteria
Description: bacterial SSU rRNA
Rfam family: Bacterial small subunit ribosomal RNA
Source: RNAcentral
GGGGAAUCUUCCGCAAUGGACGCAAGUCUGACGGAGCAACGCCGCGUGUAUGAAGAAGGUCUUCGGAUUGUAAAGUACUGUUCUUGGGGAAGAAAGGAAGCCUUGAGAAGAUUGAGGUUCGCUGACGGUACCCAAGGAGGAAGCCCCGGCUAACUACGUGCCAGCAGCCGCGGUAAUACGUAGGGGGCGAGCGUUGUCCGGAAUUAUUGGGCGUAAAGGGCGCGUAGGCGGAUAAUUAAGUCCGGUGUGAAAGAUCAGGGCUCAACCGUGAGAUUGCAUCGGAAACUGGUUAUCUUGAGUGCAGGAGAGGAAAGUGGAAUUCCACGUGUAGCGGUGAAAUGCGUAGAUAUGUGGAGGAACACCAGUGGCGAAGGCGACUUUCUGGACUGUAACUGACGCUGAGGCGCGAAAGCGUGGGUAGCAAAC